AUGAACGCUGGCGGCGUGCCUAAUACAUGCAAGUCGAGCGAACGGACGAGAAGCUUGCUUCUCUGAUGUUAGCGGCGGACGGGUGAGUAACACGUGGAUAACCUACCUAUAAGACUGGGAUAACUUCGGGAAACCGGAGCUAAUACCGGAUAAUAUUUUGAACCGCAUGGUUCAAAAGUGAAAGACGGUCUUGCUGUCACUUAUAGAUGGAUCCGCGCUGCAUUAGCUAGUUGGUAAGGUAACGGCUUACCAAGGCAACGAUGCAUAGCCGACCUGAGAGGGUGAUCGGCCACACUGGAACUGAGACACGGUCCAGACUCCUCCGGGAGGCAGCAGUAGGGAAUCUUCCGCAAUGGGCGAAAGCCUGACGGAGCAACGCCGCGUGAGUGAUGAAGGUCUUCGGAUCGUAAAACUCUGUUAUUAGGGAAGAACAUAUGUGUAAGUAACUGUGCACAUCUUGACGGUACCUAAUCAGAAAGCCACGGCUAACUACGUG
This 496-nucleotide ribosomal RNA is filed under the name uncultured bacterium. RNAcentral's name for it is "partial 16S ribosomal RNA". It matches the Rfam family "Bacterial small subunit ribosomal RNA", at positions 29 to 507 of the family's 1533-position model. The record is from RNAcentral.